This 378-nucleotide long non-coding RNA is filed under the name Lonchura striata (white-rumped munia). Its description in RNAcentral is "domestica (Bengalese finch) lncRNA (ENSLSDG00000005762.1)". Lineage: Eukaryota; Metazoa; Chordata; Aves; Passeriformes; Estrildidae. The record is from RNAcentral.
AAGGGGACACAUGGCAUGAGGAGGGAGAACCUGUUUUCAGAAAGGAUGAAGAAAUUUUUAAGACUUGAUGAACACAAGAUGUGCAACAUUUCAGAGGUAUAACAAAAUUCUUUCUCUGAUGAAAGGAUAAAGGCAGAGUUGUCUGCUUAGCUAGCACCACCAGUCUCAGAGCCAGGCCAGACUUCUGCCAAUGACCCCGAGACUUGAAGGAGCCAGGCUCAAAGAGAAGCACCCAAAAGGAAAAUGGAAAUCUACUUUUCUUGACAUGUCUGUCAGCAAGCAGCAGAAGCACACCUUACCAGCAUGUGGAGGAAAAAUCAUGAAUGUUCCUGAUAACAACAAUGAAUAUUGCCCACGCGUGAUGUUUCAGAAUUCGAC